RNAcentral lists this ribosomal RNA (524 nucleotides) under uncultured bacterium. RNAcentral's name for it is "partial 16S ribosomal RNA". It matches the Rfam family "Bacterial small subunit ribosomal RNA", at positions 28 to 523 of the family's 1533-position model. The record is from RNAcentral.
GACGAAGGCUGGCGGCGUGCCUAAUACAUGCAAGUCGAGCGCAGGAAACCGUCUGAACCCUUCGGGGGGACGACGAUGGAAUGAGCGGCGGACGGGUGAGUAACACGUAAAGAACCUGCCCACGGGUCUGGGAUAACCACGAGAAGUCGGGGCUAAUACCGGACGGGUCAUCGGACCGCAUGGUCCGAGGAUGAAAGGCGCUCCGGCGUCGCCCGUGGAUGGCUUUGCGGUGCAUUAGCUAGUUGGUGGGGUGAGGGCCCACCAAGGCGACGAGGCAUCGCCGACCUGAGAGGGUGAUCGGCCACACGGGGACUGAGACAAGGCCCAGACUCCUACGGGAGGCAGCAGUAGGGAAUCUUCCACAAUGGGCGAAAGUCUGAUGGAGCAACGCCGCGUGAACGAUGAAGGCCCUCGGGUCGUAAAGUUCUGUUGUAAGGGAAGAACAAGUGCCGCAGGCAAUGGCGGCACCUUGACGGUACCUUGCGAGAAAACCACGGCUAACUACGUGCCAGCCGCCGCAGUAA